UGCAAGUCGAACGCUUCUUUUUCCACCGGAGCUUGCUCCACCGGAUAAAGAGGAGUGGCGAACGGGUGAGUAACACGUGGGUAACCUGCCCAUCAGAAGGGGAUAACACUUGGAAACAGGUGCUAAUACCGUAUAACAAUCAAAACCGCAUGGUUUUGAUUUGAAAGGCGCUUUCGGGUGUCGCUGAUGGAUGGACCCGCGGUGCAUUAGCUAGUUGGUGAGGUAACGGCUCACCAAGGCCACGAUGCAUAGCCGACCUGAAAGGGUGAUCGGCCACAUUGGGACUGAGACACGGCCCAAACUCCUACGGGAGGCAGCAGUAGGGAAUCUUCCACAAUGGACAAGGACAA
RNAcentral lists this ribosomal RNA (350 nucleotides) under Enterococcus faecium. RNAcentral describes it as "bacterial SSU rRNA". It matches the Rfam family "Bacterial small subunit ribosomal RNA", at positions 56 to 386 of the family's 1533-position model. The record is from RNAcentral. Lineage: Bacteria; Bacillati; Bacillota; Bacilli; Lactobacillales; Enterococcaceae.